RNAcentral lists this ribosomal RNA (205 nucleotides) under uncultured bacterium. Its description in RNAcentral is "partial 16S ribosomal RNA". It matches the Rfam family "Bacterial small subunit ribosomal RNA", at positions 568 to 774 of the family's 1533-position model. The record is from RNAcentral.
UGCGUAGGUGGUUUCUUAAGUCAGAGGUGAAAGGCUACGGCUCAACCGUAGUAAGCCUUUGAAACUGGGAAACUUGAGUGCAGGAGAGGAGAGUGGAAUUCCUAGUGUAGCGGUGAAAUGCGUAGAUAUUAGGAGGAACACCAGUUGCGAAGGCGGCUCUCUGGACUGUAACUGACACUGAGGCACGAAAGUGUGGGAGCAAACA